UGUUCCACCAGAAUGACCCAAUGACAUCACUCAGUAGAAUUCUGACAAGGGGCUGGCUUUGUAGAGGAACCUGGCUGCUACUAAAAGAAAUCUCACAGGACAGAAAUCUCAUCACUGCACAGUGUGUGGGAAGGUAUUCAGUCGUGCAUUGCUCCUUGUAAGACACCAGCGCAUUCACACAGGAGAGAAACCUUAUCAGUGCACUGAGUGUGGGAAGAGAUUCACGCAGUUAGGAAAUCUUCAAUCGCACCAGCGUGUUCACACAGGAGAGAAACCUUAUCACUGCACUGACUGUGGGAGGAGUUUCUCACAUUUUAGUUCCCUGAAAAUGCACCAGCAGACUCACAGAAAAAGAAUCUUAUCAAUGUACUGAAUGUCUGAAGAGUUUCAGUCACUGAGCAAAUCUUAAGACACCAUAAAAUGCACACAAGUGGAGCCCUAUCCCUGCACUGAAUGUGGGUAGAAGUUCAGUCAGUUACUGGGUCUUGAAGGACAAGAGAAUUCACAGAACUUUACUCCUGAGGACUCAUAAACACCAUACUAGAUCUUGUUUACCGUUCUGAUUUUUCUACGCCACAUUUUAUCAAUUCUGAACUGCACACCUCAAACAUAGGUUUGUUGUUGACAGGCUCUGUGAGCACCCUUCCUGUAUAUUACAAGCACGCCUGCCAGCGUUUUUUUCAAGUGCUGCAAUAAUCAUUAUCGCAUCAACAUACUUAAAUCACUCUCCCUUAUACAGAGGGGGGAUUCACUUAUGACCUGGAAGUGGAAAUGACGUAUGUUCACAUUUUAACUUUUGAAGCUAUAUAUGUUUGAACUAUAUCAAAACAAAGAUGGAUGCGCCUGAGAGACAAAGUUUUUUUCUGUGGAGACUGUUGCUGAGAGAAGGCUAUUGCUGAGUAAGAAAGUGAUCCUGAAUCAUUCUCGUCUGCCUCACACAUGGCUUUAGAUGAGCUAUGAGUUUCAAAAAAGUGAAUUAUCGCUGGUAUACCAAACUUAUAAGAAAACUGUGCGAUGUGCUGAAAACAACGCAAAAAAAUUAGCAAGGCAGUUGGCAUUGGGUAUUGAAUAUCUGAAAAUCUGUUUGAUUUGAUUGUGGCUGGCUUUACCAAAAGUAACAGGUUUUUUAGGUUGUAAAUGACAUUGUUACAUGCAAGCUUUGCCAUUUCCCAUCAUUGUGUAUGCCGUUUUAUACUGAGUUGGAGCCUGGUAUGUUUGUAUUUGCUGUAGUAAAUAUAAUAAGCAGG
This is a long non-coding RNA of Acipenser ruthenus (sterlet), 1247 nucleotides long. RefSeq lists it as uncharacterized. Lineage: Eukaryota; Metazoa; Chordata; Actinopteri; Acipenseriformes; Acipenseridae. The record is from RefSeq and is a predicted model, not a curated record. The transcript is spliced from 2 exons.